GGAGGAAUGUGGUAUGGAUGACGAAAGAAGAAAUGGCAGUGAACAGUGGCGACACGAAGCGACCAGCAACAAGUGACGCAAAUGCACGCAAAUUCAACAACAUAAGAUUACUGAAUGGAAGUGCAAGGCCAAAUGGUUCAGGGACAAAGUUCUAACCUGAAUUUUUUUUGUAGCUUCUUUGGUGGACGAUAGGAUGAUGAACAACUCUCAAACUAAAGGGAUAAAACUCGAUAAAACUCACCGAGCAACCUGUAAUCUGAUACCACUUGAUAGAGCUGGAGUGCCCGAUCUUUCGGUGAGAGGGAUAACUUCGAUUUGUGGAGGAGGUGACUCUCGCAAUCUGACUACGAACGAACAGGUCAUGGCACCUUAGCAAUCGCUGAACCAACUCCAAAUGGUUAUUGACCUUGCUAAUGGCAAGAUCAACUUGAACACGAGGUUCUAUUCCUGCAACAACCGAAGAACAAGCAAGAACAAGAUGAAGGCAAAACUAAAUAUCAAUCGCUCACGAAUUGGGGUUAACAAUGGCUAUCCACAGGUGGCCGCUGAGCACAACUGCAGCACAGGACGUUUG
This 574-nucleotide long non-coding RNA is filed under the name Setaria viridis. RNAcentral's name for it is "long non-coding RNA (SVIR_LNC005612)". Lineage: Eukaryota; Viridiplantae; Streptophyta; Magnoliopsida; Poales; Poaceae. The record is from RNAcentral.